ACCUCGACACCUACUGGAGGCAGCAGUGGGGAAUAUUGCACAAUGGGGGAAACCCUGAUGCAGCGACGCCGCGUGAAGGAAGAAGUAUCUCGGUAUGUAAACUUCUAUCAGCAGGGAAGAAAAUGACGGUACCUGACUAAGAAGCCCCGGCUAACUACGUGCCAGCAGCUGCGGUAAUCUGAGCGGGCUGGCAAGGC
Molecule: ribosomal RNA, 197 nt
Filed under: uncultured bacterium
Lineage: Bacteria
Description: partial 16S ribosomal RNA
Rfam family: Bacterial small subunit ribosomal RNA
Source: RNAcentral